CCUUGCUUGGAGCCCAUCUUUCUUCCUAAAGCCUGCCUCUCCCCUUGGCCCAUUUAGCCCACCAUCCCCAUCGAAAGGGUAUCUCUUUUUCCCUGUCGUCUUCCUAGGAGAGCACGAGAGAAGCGUGUUCUCUUUUCCUUGCCCGGCGUCACACUCCACCACUACGACGCCAACCAAGCCCUCCCCUUUUCCCCUUCUUUAAUCCCAUCUGAGGCUUCCCCAAACCCUAGCCCUCUCUCCCAUAUACGCCGCCGCCACCUACCUCCCUCCAUCCUCUUCUCUGUGAGCAACAAAACAGGGGAAAACCCCACUGCCACGACCGUCCUCGCCAUGGCGCCGCUGCUCCAGGGCUCCCCUUGCCACUCCGAGACCACCCACAGAACCGCCUCGGCGUCCUCUAUAUUCUCCCCAAAGGAAUCGAGCCAGGGUGCUCUUAAUCGUCGCCAAAUCGCGUCUUCUUCUCCGACCCCGGCGACAAAAACUCGUCGAUUCCGGCGAGCACCUUGCACCUCCGGCCAAACCGAGCCCACCUACAUCUUCAUGGCCUUCGUCGCCGGCGAGCUUCCGGUGAUGCUCCGGCACCACAAGCGCCAUGUUCUGGUUCACCAAGUCCUCCCGCAUCGAGCGCACCCUCGCGCCCGUCCCGUCUCAUCCGUUUUCCGUCGUCUCCGUGCUCGACCAGAUCUCCCCGCCAUGACGCUGUUUUGAAGCUCGUCCCUGCCUUUUGUUUGUUCUUGUUGGGUUGCAGCAGUUUCUUUGCAAGAUCACUGUGGCAGCCUAACUGGUGGAUCCCACCCGUCAGCCUCUGUCGGCGCCACCUCAGCUUCCCUGCCUCGUCAGCGACCCAGUCAGCACCCAGACCCACAUGUCAGCGCCUGUGGCUACGUCCUUGUGGCAUUUGCUUCUUCCCGGAUAGGAUCACGAAGUGGUG
Long non-coding RNA from Lolium rigidum, 931 nucleotides. RefSeq lists it as uncharacterized. The transcript has 4 exons. Lineage: Eukaryota; Viridiplantae; Streptophyta; Magnoliopsida; Poales; Poaceae. The record is from RefSeq and is a predicted model, not a curated record.